Molecule: RNA transcript, 8287 nt
Organism: Vespa velutina
Lineage: Eukaryota; Metazoa; Arthropoda; Insecta; Hymenoptera; Vespidae
Gene: mRpL30
Gene name: 39S ribosomal protein L30, mitochondrial
Exons: 7
Source: RefSeq, a predicted model, not a curated record
UAAUUUUUUCUAUGCCAAAUAUGGUUCAUUUGAGAGUUAAAGCAGAAAGAGAGAGAGAGAGAGAGAGAGAAAGUAUAUUUAAAUAACAACAAUUAAAAAUUUAUAUUGAGAUAACUUGAAUGUGAUCAAAGAAAAUAAAAAUUUCUUGCUCAUCUUAAAGUACAUUUAUUGCAGUUUUGUUGAUAGCAAAGUUUAUUAAGAAGACUAUAAAAGACUACAAAGGUGAGCCUGCAGAUAUCUAUAUUAUUAAAUUUUCAACUAUAAUGACAAGCAAAUCAAAAGUUUUAACUACAUUCGUCCGCAACUACUCAACACCGAAACAUUGGAUUUCGGAUGCAGUAAAAUAUGAAAACGUCACAUAUUAUCCAAGAUCCCCAAAUCAUAAAGAUCCUCCAAUUAUACCAUCCAAGCUUUUAAUGGUUAUAUUAGUAAAACCUUUUGCCGGCAAUCCUUAUUGGGAAAAAAAUAUACUUAAACAAUUGGGUAUUGCAGAGAAAGGAAGGGAUCCUGUGAUAGUUAAAAAUAUUCCAGAGGUAUGUGCAAUGUUGUGGAAAGUAAAACAUCUUGUCAAAAUUACUCCUAUUAAAUUACCGGACAAGCUGCCUAACCCAGAUGAUUUUGGUGGAGGUUAUUUGCAUGAAAAUGGAACAUUCUAUGUUGUUCCCAAAAUAGAUCCAUUGCGUAUAGCGAGCACAGAAAAAUUCGAAAAUGAUCCAAAAAAAUUGGAAGCCUCGAAAAUAAUAGAAACGUUAAGAUUACAGUGGUUAAAUGGUACUUUACCUUAAUAUAAUAACAAACAUAGAGAGAUUUGUAAUUUCUAUUAACAGUUCUGUAAAUGGUACGUUAGGACCCUAUAGAAAUAAAGGAUGCGUGCCGCUUUAGAUCAGUCGUGCGGUCCUAUACUGCGAUAUUACAUACGUUAAAACUAAUUAUAGAAAAGGAAGAAGAAACAAAAAUGAUAUUAAGAAAAUCUAAGUCUAUCGAAAAUAUGUCGAUUAAGACUCAAUUAGUGGUGCCUUACAUCGAAAGAGAAUAAAAGUAAUUUGCUAGGCCGUAAUCGCAUCUUUUGAAAAACUUUUAUGUACUUGCGCGCAUAAUAAGCGUACUAAGCAUACUGAUAAUGCCAGAACACGAGACCUUUUCUGCAACUCGAAUAUCGUCUGAUUGUUAAUUGUGCGCAAGUAGCCUUUGGAAUUUAUCAUUUUAUCUGAAAUGCUAACAUCUAUAAUGAAAUCGUCAACUCGAUAUCCUAUUUGUAGACUAAUCUCUAUGAGAAAACAACUCCUGAUAUAGUAAGUAAGUAGAUUUGAAAAAAUUCUAACAACAUGAUCAUUUUGGAAGUCCUAGUAAUGGAGAAAGAAAGGGGGAGAAGAGAGAUAAAAGAGACAAUAAUCUCUCAUUGUCCUAUUUAAAAUUCAAGUCGAACUCGAUCGCCUACGACUCCGAAGCUUCCAAAAUCGUCUAUCUCUGGACGUAUGAUGAAUGCAGAUUGUAUUAUGCGUAUUUGUAGUUUUCUCAGGCAUAUACAUCUUUAACAAUCUUGCUGCUCGUUCUUCUUGCGACCGAUCAUACGCUUUGCCGCUAAGGAAGCUCAGUAAUUUCAAACUACGUCGUUUUAUUCUCAAACGAUUUAAAAAAUUAGUUUCCGACGUCUCGAUGGGAUUACGACCGUUAUUCUGACUAUAGGAUUCCUCUCCGAGCUUGUUGUUUGAUUUUCUUAUCAUAAAUUCUAAUUGUUUUCUGUGAUCGUACUGCGCAUCCAACUUCCCGUGCCUACUUCCGUCGGUCGCAAUCGCGGCAUAAGCUUCCUUUUGCAAUAUCUCAAAACUUAUUUUUUCUGCAUUUCUGUUAUUAGAUUCCUCGGCUCUUCUCGCAACCAAUUCCAAUUCUUUCAAACGAUCUGCCUCCUUGACAUUCUUCGAUGAGUCCGGCGAUGUUAAUUCGAGUUUUGAGGCUUCAUCUACGUCGGACAGUUUUCUAUGAAGAUCUACAAUUUUACGACGAAACUCUUCGUCUUCUUGACUCAACUUUGCAAAAAUACGAUCUCUCUCGAUUACAUCGGAACUCGAGCUGACGUUUUUCAACGUAGUCGAUUGCAACCUCUGUCACCACCAUCCAACUUGAUGUUUUCCACUUCCAGGGGAAUCCUCCUCUUCGAGUAAAGGCUCCAGUCUUCUUCUACUUAAGAAGCAACGUAGCGAGCCAAGGCUACCUCCGCCAAAUAAAUUCAGACCAUAAUUGUCUUCUCCGGAACCAGUCAAAUUGCCGGUCCCAUUUGGCGGCGGCUAGGGAAGUCAGGCACAGCUCGGGCUAAUGAUUCUUUGCAAACAGAGGGCAAGCGAGUCAUGCAAAGGCGUGCGAAGCUUACAGGCUAUAUUAGAUGCUUACAGGGAAGGUACGGGCUUUGACAAACAAUAGCUACUAUAUUGUAAGAGCCAACAAUCUAGGACCAUGUAGUCACGUAAUAGCAGGUAUGUUUCUUACGAUUGCAUCGGAGUAUUUAAAAGAGAAAGCAACGCAUGUCACUGAACAAAGUUUAGUUUCGGACUUUAGCAAAAAUAUUUUUUAUUUUUAGUAGAGACAUAGAUAAGAAAAAUGGAAAUUCUGUUAAUAGGUUUAACUUUGUGAUCAUAGAAGCGCGUUACGCCACUAUUCUUUAUGCAAAAAUAUUUUUGACCAAAGCGUAGCCGAUACCUUCCGCGGAAUACAAGUGUGUGUAUGUAUAUAGUAAGUACUAAUAUUAUUAAUAAUUAUUAUAAUCAAGUAUAUUACAGAGCGAGUGUGUGUGUGAGUGGGUAGCUCUAGAAAUGAUUACCGAAUGUGUCGUAAAACUCUCGUCGUCUGGACCUCCGGAGGUUGGAGUACCCCAAAUAUCAUCUCCCGAAGUUGCACCCGACGUAGUACCCUCCUCGUCGUUAGGAUCGAGAGAAAAUUCUGUCCUUUCUGGAGGAACAGGCGGUUGAAGAAGGUAAUCGCCGACCCCUUCGCUAAAUUGCUCCAAAAGAACCAUCUUGCUAACGACAUAAUUACUAGCUCUUGCGGUCCAAGCUCUCAGACCCGAAGGUGGUGAUUCUGUCUCACGAUUUUCAUCGUCUCCUUGCUCGUCCAGUUCGUCGUCUUGGUCCAAACUACUCAUCGUACCGAAUCUUCUCAACGUUCUACGUAGAAUCGAGAUUAUCGUAGAAGAUAAUAAAACGGAUUAAUAUAAACAGAAAUGUUUAUCGAAUAAUAGACUAAUAUCUACCUGUAAGGUGGUUCCCCGUCGCAAUCGAGAUCAUCUUCGCUUCCAUCUUCCGUAUUACCGUCGACAGAUGCAUAAUUUGGACUGUUACGUCCUGGACUAUCGUGUAGGCCAUUUCUUAAUCUAUGUCUCGCCGUAUAAAUAUCUGGCGUAGGUGGCAUGACAGAUAUUUUAGGAGGUAACGGAGAGAAAGGGUCUCUUGGAAGAGGCGGCGUGGGGCAGCCAGAUCUGAAAGAAGAAACGAAAGAAAAAGGAAGACAAAGAAAGGAAAAGAAGAAAAAAAGAAAAGGAAAUUUAAUUAAUUAAUAUUGGCACAUGCGUAAUACUCGGAGACAAACGUGAUAAUCUUAAAUAUGGUAAGUACUUCAUUUAAUACAUUGGAUUAUCGGUAAGGCAUAUAACCUAUGACAUCGUCUACAGAUGUUGAUAGAACUCGUAGAGUUUUCUUUCGAGGAUACGUAGCUCCCAUUUUUUCUUGCCGUAAUACUAUUGGAUUUGACUGUACUUAAACUGGCACUGGAGGCUGUGCUCUGUUGCUCUAUGUCCGAAUUCGCAGUUACGACUUCUUCUGCCGUCGUCGUCGUCGUCAUCGUCGUUGUCAUCGUCGUCGUAGCUUCCUGAAUGGAUCUUUCGUUCUUCUCUCCGGGUGCUCUUGCAGCUAACUCUUCCGCAGUCCAUUCCUCGAGGGAGCCUUCGUUAUCGGAAGGCGGUAUUUGGUGAGAAUUGCGCACCCAUUGGGCCAAAUGAUUGUCCUCUCGCGUAUUUUUCAGAAUAUCGGCAAGACUUUCAUUCGAAUGGCAUUCCUUUUUUUCCUCGUGUUUAUGCGAAUCCCGUAAUCCCAUCUAAUUUAAGAGGGAACGUAUAUUAAAGAGCAAAUAAUCCUACAUCUCGAAAUCCUUCACUUUUAUGCCAAUUCACCACCUUACCCGCGGACUUUCCAUCGAUUCUCUAACGUGAGCAAAGUUGGUACUGGUAAUCGGACUCUCCUCGGGGCUACCAACACUCGAUGUUCCACCAUAGCCUGUAUUUAGAUAAAUUCUAAAAUACAAGGGAUUAGUGUAAACAAUGCAACUUGGUGACAUAAUGUUAGAAUUAACUAUAAUUUAGAGUGUUACAAUAUAUGUACAUAUAUACAAUAUAUAUAUAUAUAUAUAUAUAUAUAUAUAUAUAUAUAUAUAUCUACGGCCCGAGUGAUUCGGGCAACCACUUAGAAAAUAAAAGUAGGCACUACUCACAUUUGUCGUUGAAGCAAGUUAUGCCAAACUGCUUUGAGCUCCGGACUGGGAGCUCUCAAUACGAUGACUCGUCUUCGAGGACGACUAUGGGGACUACAACCUCCGCUGUUUGUCAUUUCCGCCUGACCGUUCUCAGUAUUACCAUUCGAAUUGAUUGCCACCUGUAAUCUGAAUUCUGUCGGCCUCUUUCUAAUGGUAAAACACGCUUCUGCAAUAUUGGCCAAUCGCAGAGGUUCCUCAGUAACGAAAAGAACGCGAUCCCUCGAAACGCGAGCAAAGACCAAUAAGUCGGUAAGAAGGAGCGCCCACGAUGGUUGCAAACGAGCCCGACCUUCGACCUUUGCUAGGGCCCCGCCAAAAAGCCUGUCAGAUAGAAUCAAUCUGUCAGAAAUUUAGUUCAUAAAUAAUCAUAAGUGACAAUCAACUGACCAUUGCCUUCCUGGCAUGGCUAAAGUAAACGGUUUGCAUUUUGCGAAAACCAAUCGCGACUCGACUUCCUGUAAACUAAGUAAAGGUCUUCCGGUGUCUCGCGGUGGUUCCAUUACGCCUGCAUUAGCCGUUGAUUCUCUAUAACCUUGCGCCAAAUCUCGAGCUUGCUGACAGUUUCUUGGCGAUGCCAGACUCAAUAAUCUCGUCAUUUCUCUAAAACGCAACCACAAAUAAAAGUUAUUCAAAGAUUACUUAAAACUUAUUCAAACUUUGGAAUAAGCGCUACAAUAUUGGCGCGAUGGAACUGGCAUAGAGACGAACCUAUAAUGCUCUAAAGGAAGCAAGAGGAUUCCCGUAAGGUCAGGCCGCCUUUUAUGAGGAACGGCAGGUUCACAGACCAACUUAGCAAAGGCAGUAUUCCGUCUGAGUGCAACGAGCAAAUAACAGGCCCAUUGCAGUCCACUGAGGUAUCGUCUGUAAGCGGCCGUGAUCUUAGGUACUCUGCAGAGAUAGCUAUCGGUACCGCCACCUUCGUCUCUAAUCUCCUCGGAUAUCUUAAGUAAUUCGUCUAGAUUUUGAAAGAGGACCAUGUAGUCCGCCGCAGAGAGAACGUCGCGCCUUUCGGCCAGCGGCGUCAUGAAUCUUGUGUGACCGCUCUUCAGAAUCCCCCGGUAUCUUGCCUCUCGUACCGAUAACUCUUCCUCCGGUGGUGCAUCCGGAGCAAGAUUCGGAAAAACCUGAUCACGUAGACGUGCAAGAUUUUCGUCCUGUCUUUUCGAACUACUACCAAUCGAGAGACCGCAUGCAUUAAUGUCCUUACCUAAGAAUAUUCUUAUUUUUCAAUAAACUGAUCAGCUACAAACAUUAUUGCGUAUCAACAUUAUAAUCUAUGAUCUUUAACGAAAUUGUAAAAAGGGUAGAUUUUUUAUGUAAUCGUAUCCAAAAUCUAACAACGAAUCGAUCUAUAUAGUGCACAUAUAGUUAUAUAUAUAUAUAUAUAUAUAUAUAUAUAUAUAUAUAUAUAUAUAUAUAUAUAUAUAUAUGUAUCUAUGUAUGUAUGUAUAUCGAUCGAAGCGAUCAUGCGAGUGUAAUAUUCUGUUGCAUAACUCAUGACGAAAAAUUUUGCUACAAUAUUAUCUUUCGACCUGCAUGCAACAAGAGAAAGUAUCAUUUCGACCUAAUUUCAUACUACGAUAAUCACAUUCUCUCUCUUUCUCUCUCUCUCUCUCUCUCUCUCUCUCUCUCUUUCUCUCUCUUUCUCUCUCUCUCUCUCUCUCGCUCCCUCUGUAUCCAAAGAUGCAUACACACCUACAUGUACUCGUAGUUUAAUGUCAUGGCUAAAACACGGGGAAUGGAUGAGGAUGUGUUCAAAUAAAUGAAAAUAACAACGAGUGUAGUUUAAAACAAAACUUGUUGACAACAACAAAAAAAAAGAAAAGACAACCGAACAAAGUACAAACAAGAUAAUUAGAUCAUAAAUUAAGAACACGCUUACCACAAGAAACGCGCGAACGAUCGCUCUGAGAGUUAAGGAAGGAAAUGCACUAUACAAAAUAUGGACCGUGUAAAACAAAAAAAAGCGUUUAUCAGUCAACUAAAUGAAAAAAGAAAAAAGAAAACAAAUACAAAACGUUCGCCGUUCUUUUCGCCUCGCGGUUCUGUAGAUCGAUUUUAACGAUAAGGCGAAUAAAAUGAUUGAUGCUCCGAUAAUGCUCGGACACGUUCGCUUUUAUCAAUGAAAAUCGAAACUUUUCAAUGUCAUCGAGCGGCAAGCGAUAUCGCGAUAACGAUAGGAACGAAAGAAUCAAGCGGUUUUAUAACAGCGGUAUUGUCAUCGAGCUCACACCAGAACGCCGAUACCGACCUCGGCGUUGAACGCGACGGCGUGCUGACUAGCGGGACCGACAGUUUGUUGAAGAGAGACAUUCAUCGAGUUGGGCCUCUGCUGUGACGAAUGAAUGCCUCCCUUACGAUAAACCUCAAGGAUGAGCUGAUUCGUUGCCGCCUGGAUCAAGCCCAAAAUCUCGUCCCUCGGUUUCGUUACAACGUUCGUUGUUUCGACGAAGACGACGUAAUCGCCUGGUUUCAGACCAGAUCUUUCCGCAGGACUUCCUGAAUCGACGCGCUCCACACGUGGCGGUCUGCCCCAGGAUAAAGAGAAACCCCAUGGCACCUGUACAAGGCGUUCUACCACCUCUCGCGGUAAAGCCUGGAUGUAGAGGUAAGCCGGUCAGAGGAUCGACUGGUUCCAACUCAAGAUGUUUUAAAUACGUCAAAUCAUCCCCACCGGAAUUGUUGUUAUCUGAUUCUCCAUCCUUGGAUAAAGGCGGCGAGACUCCACAUUCUUGUGGUACUCUUGCAUAAGGGGUACUUGUAUUUCGGCUGGAUCCAGAUUCGAGUGGGUGCCAUGUUGCUUCCUACGAUAUUCACGAGCGACGAUAUAUCAAUCGGUCAAUAAGUCAAACAACUGAGAAAUAUCAUAUGCUUCAUCGAUGUUUCUACAUAUACACGUAUCAAUGCAGUUAUCAAAAAAAUUCAAAAAUUUUUAAAAGAACACCAAUAACGAUAAAAGCAAUGCAAUAAAUUGCAACAGCGAUCAUUGUUCCUUGAUAUGUAACAGUAAAAAAAAAAAAGAAAAAAAGAACAAACAUUAGACAAGGAUGGCUGUUGCGAUAGUCGAGCAGAUUCUGCAACGAUUCGUUGACCACUGGACUCCAACGAACCGGCUUAACCAUGACCUUAAGCGAGAAGACCUAUGAAUUGCGAACAUUACGAGAGAAAUUCCAUUUGGACGAUUAUAUACGUAUCAAAUAUUAACCGUUACCUUAUCCUGAGACAAAGGUAGAGGUAAAGUCAUACAGCCCAGCAGCUCGCUACGUCUGAAACAGGAAAUAGACAAGAAACGAACAUAAAUUUUUAAUUGCUUUUAGACGAUCGUGUAUCUACCGUAGUACACUUCCAUGCUAAAACAGUGGCAUUGUCACCCAAAAACGUGCUAAGCUAAGUAGGAUUUAUGUAUGUGUUGGAGAAAGUGAGAGAUUAGAAAGGUGAAAGAGAGAGAGAGAGAGAGAGAGAGAGAGAGAGAGAGAGAGAAAGGGAGAGAAAAUAUAAAUGCGCGAGCGCAACGUGACUACCAUUUCGCGAAGGUAUCUACAUACACAUGCUAUAAUAGUGCAGAUGUGACGAGAGAAGUGCACGUGGUGAUCCCGAUGCGCAUGCUUCGAGAGAAUCGAUUCCCCUCCUACCGCAAAGAAUACUCGAAAAUCUAGAUAUUAGCUUAGAUAUUGUGAUUGACCGUAGCGCUCAACCUUUCAAAACUAAAACUGAUAUGAAAUGUUUUAGAUAAAAGAUAAAUAAAUAAUAUCGUAUUUUUAAUUUUGGC